This 74-nucleotide transfer RNA is filed under the name Clostridia bacterium. RNAcentral describes it as "tRNA-Gly". It matches the Rfam family "tRNA". Rfam says of the family: Transfer RNA (tRNA) molecules are approximately 80 nucleotides in length. Their secondary structure includes four short double-helical elements and three loops (D, anti-codon, and T loops). Lineage: Bacteria; Bacillati; Bacillota; Clostridia. The record is from RNAcentral.
GCAGGUAUAGUUUAGUGGUAAAAUAAAUCCUUGCCAAGGAUUAGUUACGGGUCCGAUUCCCGUUACCUGCUCCA